GGCGGCGUGCCUAAUACAUGCAAGUCGAGCGGAUCUUUGGGAGCUUGCUCCCAUUGGUUAGCGGCGGACGGGUGAGUAACACGUGGGCAACCUGCCUGUAAGACUGGGAUAACACCGGGAAACCGGUGCUAAUACCGGAUAAUCCUUUUCCUCUCAUGAGGAGAAGCUGAAAGACGGUUUCGGCUGUCACUUACAGAUGGGCCCGCGGCGCAUUAGCUAGUUGGUGAGGUAACGGCUCACCAAGGCGACGAUGCGUAGCCGACCUGAGAGGGUGAUCGGCCACACUGGGACUGAGACACGGCCCAGACUCCUACGGGAGGCAGCAGUAGGGAAUCUUCCACAAUGGACGAAAGUCUGAUGGAGCAACGCCGCGUGAGCGAUGAAGGCCUUCGGGUCGUAAAGCUCUGUUGUUAGGGAAGAACAAGUACCGGAGUAACUGCCGGUACCUUGACGGUACCUAACCAGAAAGCCACGGCUAACUACGUGCCAGCAGCCGCGGUAAUACGUAGGUGGCAAGCGUUGUCCGGAAUUAUUGGGCGUAAAGCGCGCGCAGGCGGUCCUUUAAGUCUGAUGUGAAAGCCCACGGCUCAACCGUGGAGGGUCAUUGGAAACUGGGGGACUUGAGUGCAGAAGAGGAAAGCGGAAUUCCACGUGUAGCGGUGAAAUGCGUAGAGAUGUGGAGGAACACCAGUGGCGAAGGCGGCUUUCUGGUCUGUAACUGACGCUGAGGCGCGAAAGCGUGGGGAGCAAACAGGAUUAGAUACCCUGGUAGUCCACGCCGUAAACGAUGAGUGCUAAGUGUUAGGGGGUUUCCGCCCCUUAGUGCUGCAGCUAACGCAUUAAGCACUCCGCCUGGGGAGUACGGCCGCAAGGCUGAAACUCAAAGGAAUUGACGGGGGCCCGCACAAGCGGUGGAGCAUGU
This 922-nucleotide ribosomal RNA is filed under the name uncultured bacterium. Its description in RNAcentral is "bacterial SSU rRNA". It matches the Rfam family "Bacterial small subunit ribosomal RNA", at positions 38 to 942 of the family's 1533-position model. The record is from RNAcentral.